GUGCUAUUUUUGUGUUUUUAUAAUUUAAACAGAGAUAAUAAAGAGUAUUUUCAGUUUAACUUUGAUAAGAUAACAUCUUUUAGAUCUAUUUUAAUUUUAUGUGGUUACUUGUUUAAUUCUAAUUAAUUUUCCAAACUAUUUAGUUAGAGCAUAGAAGAUACCUAACCUACAAUGUUACCUUCACAAAGUAAGAAAGUAAAAAUAAAAGGAAAGAGCAAUAUCUCAUGCAGGAAACGAAACAAAAAUAAAGAUUGUUAUGAUACAUCUAAAAGGAAAAAGAAUUACAUCGCCGAGACUAAAUUAGUGAAUCUUCUGAUGAUUCGACAUCUCAUGCGGGAAACGAAACAAAAAUAAAGAUUGUUAUGAUAUAUCUAAAAGGAAAAAAGAAUUACAUCGCCGAGAAUAAAUUAGUGAAUCUUCUGAUGAUUCAUAAUUCAUAAUAAUAAAAAUGAAACACCUAAACAAAGUACCAUUAGCAUAAUUAUGAAAAAUAAAAUGAAGUAUUUGCAUAUAUGACAAAAAACAUAAGAAGAAAAAGCAAUUUAUGUAGUAAAAUAUAACAAAGUGUCACACCCUCUUCUCUUUAUUUUCUUGUUCUCUUUCAAAUCUGUUGAAAUAUGGACCAACCUUUUUUGAAAAGAAAAAAAAAAUGGGACACAUUUGUUGACAUUCAGCACACACAGUAGCAGCACACAGCAGCCAAGCAAACAAUUGUUGACUGGAC
This 724-nucleotide long non-coding RNA is filed under the name Nicotiana benthamiana. RNAcentral's name for it is "long non-coding RNA (NBEN_LNC040680)". Lineage: Eukaryota; Viridiplantae; Streptophyta; Magnoliopsida; Solanales; Solanaceae. The record is from RNAcentral.